GUUUGAACUGCAAUUCACAAACUCUCCAUGACUAAUUCAUAAAUAACAGAAAUUUAUUUUCUCAGUAUCUCAGAGGGGAGGAGGUCCACUUAAGGCUCACUUGUCUGAUGAGUGCUGCGUCCUCUGGAGAGCAGGAAGGCUGUGCCUUCAAACUGUGGCAAAGUAGAGUGGGAAGAGAGCCAAAAGCUACAUGAAGCUUUCUUUAUUAGGAGCCUUAAUCCUAGACAUGAAGGAGGAGACUUCAUGACUUAAUUACCUCUUAAAGACCCCUCUUCCCAAUACCAUCACAUUACACAAUUGAAUUUGGAAGGGGCACAUUUAAAUCAGUGUUUCUCAUCCAUGCCUGUUGGCCUGACCUGUUGAUCUCUAUCCUGCAGCUCCUUAUUAGGUUUGGACUAUGGAUGGCAGAGCCAAGAGUACUGGAGGAGAAAUCAUUCAAGCAACUGUCCCCUCCCCGUGCUGUUGUCCCAAUCAUUCUGAUAGUGACUACAGUCUACAGGACAAAUCCUCUCAAAAAGCCAUCCCCCUUAAGGCAAUGAGCUCUUUUCAGGUUCCACUGACCCAGUUUCCUCUCCUCUCCUUUCAAGCCUAUCCAAGUGAUUUUCAAUUACUGGCAGUCUCUGGAGGGUCUGCUACCCUGUGAUGAUACUCCUAACUGGGCCCAUACCUCAUAGCCAUCCCCUUCAUUAGUCUACUCACUUUGACCUUUGAGCUUGGCAUCUGUGGCCCAUGAUGCACUCAGUGCUAUAACAUCAAGUAUACUGUCUUUCAUCUUUCUUCUGGAUGACCCACAUAUUAUCAUUUUUGUCUUUUU
Molecule: long non-coding RNA, 814 nt
Filed under: Marmota monax (woodchuck)
Lineage: Eukaryota; Metazoa; Chordata; Mammalia; Rodentia; Sciuridae
Source: RNAcentral